AUGGUUGAAACAAAGAAACACGCAACUUUCCAUUUGGUAUAUUGCAUCAUUGUGUUGGCACUCAUUCUUCCUCUAGCCACUUCAUCAGUUGAGCGGAUAUUUUCGGCAAUGAAGAUCAUCAAGACAGAUUUGCGCAACAAACUAUUAGAUGAUUGGCUACCGCGAGAAAGAGAUAUUCAGAAGCAUUCCUGA
Molecule: ribosomal RNA, 192 nt
Filed under: Triticum aestivum (bread wheat)
Lineage: Eukaryota; Viridiplantae; Streptophyta; Magnoliopsida; Poales; Poaceae
Description: partial small subunit ribosomal RNA
Source: RNAcentral